GACAGAGGUCCCGAGCGUUAGGCGGAAUCACUGGGCUUAAAGCGUGUGUAGGCGGAUUUGUAAGUACCUUGUGAAAUCCCACGGCUUAACCGUGGAACUGCUUGGUAUACUGCUUAUCUUGGGCCAUCUAGGGGCGAGCGGAACAAACGGUGGAGCGGUGAAAUGCGUAGAUAUCGUAAGGAAGACCAGUGGCGAAGGCGGGUCUCUGGACAGUUCCUGACGCUGAGGCACGAAGGCCAGGGGAGCAAACGGG
Molecule: ribosomal RNA, 253 nt
Filed under: uncultured bacterium
Lineage: Bacteria
Description: partial 16S ribosomal RNA
Rfam family: Bacterial small subunit ribosomal RNA
Source: RNAcentral